GAGGAGCUUGCUCCUUUGACGUUAGCGGCGGACGGGUGAGUAACACGUGGGUAACCUACCUAUAAGACUGGAAUAACUCCGGGAAACCGGGGCUAAUGCCGGAUAACAUGUUGAACCGCAUGGUUCAACAGUGAAAGACGGUCUUGCUGUCACUUAUAGAUGGACCCGCGCCGUAUUAGCUAGUUGGUAAGGUAACGGCUUACCAAGGCGACGAUACGUAGCCGACCUGAGAGGGUGAUCGGCCACACUGGAACUGAGACACGGUCCAGACUCCUACGGGAGGCAGCAGUAGGGAAUCUUCCGCAAUGGGCGAAAGCCUGACGGAGCAACGCCGCGUGAGUGAUGAAGGUCUUCGGAUCGUAAAGCUCUGUUGUUAGGGAAGAACAUAUGUGUAAGUAACUGUGCACAUCUUGACGGUACCUAACCAGAAAGCCACGGCUAACUACGUGCCAGCAGCCGCGGUAAUACGUAGGUGGCAAGCGUUAUCCGGAAUUAUUGGGCGUAAAGCGCGCGUAGGCGGUUUUUUAAGUCUGAUGUGAAAGCCCACGGCUCAACCGUGGAGGGUCAUUGGAAACUGGAAAACUUGAGUGCAGAAGAGGAAAGUGGAAUUCCAUGUGUAGCGGUGAAAUGCGCAGAGAUAUGGAGGAACACCAGUGGCGAAGGCGGCUUUCUGGUCUGUAACUGACGCUGAGGUGCGAAAGCGUGGGGAUCAAACAGGAUUAGAUACCCUGGUAGUCCACGCCGUAAACGAUGAGUGCUAAGUGUUAGGGGGUUUCCGCCCCUUAGUGCUGCAGCUAACGCAUUAAGCACUCCGCCUGGGGAGUACGGUCGCAAGACUGAAACUCAAAGGAAUUGACGGGGACCCGCACAAGCGGUGGAGCAUGUGGUUUAAUUCGAAGCAACGCGAAGAACCUUACCAAAUCUUGACAUCUUUUGACCGCUCUAGAGAUAGAGUUUUCCUCUUCGGAGGACAAAAUGACAGGUGGUGCAUGGUUGUCGUCAGCUCGUGUCGUGAGAUGUUGGGUUAAGUCCCGCAACGAGCGCAACCCUUAAGCUUAGUUGCCAUCAUUAAGUUGGGCACUCUAAGUUGACUGCCGGUGACAAACCGGAGGAAGGUGGGGAUGACGUCAAAUCAUCAUGCCCCUUAUGAUUUGGGCUACACACGUGCUACAAUGGACAAUACAAAGGGCAGCGAAACCGCGAGGUCAAGCAAAUCCCAUAAAGUUGUUCUCAGUUCGGAUUGUAGUCUGCAACUCGAC
This 1259-nucleotide ribosomal RNA is filed under the name Staphylococcus agnetis. RNAcentral describes it as "bacterial SSU rRNA". It matches the Rfam family "Bacterial small subunit ribosomal RNA", at positions 73 to 1316 of the family's 1533-position model. The record is from RNAcentral. Lineage: Bacteria; Bacillati; Bacillota; Bacilli; Caryophanales; Staphylococcaceae.